RNAcentral lists this ribosomal RNA (284 nucleotides) under uncultured marine eukaryote. Its description in RNAcentral is "partial 18S ribosomal RNA". It matches the Rfam family "Eukaryotic small subunit ribosomal RNA", at positions 613 to 899 of the family's 1831-position model. The record is from RNAcentral.
UUGUGGUUAAAAAGCUCGUAGUUGGAUCUCAACAGUCUUGAAGCGGUCAACUUUGUAGUUGUACUGCUUUGUAGACUGUGCUUUUGCUGGAGGUUUAGGGGUGCUCUUAAUCGAGUGUCUCUGGAUGCCAGCAGGUUUACUUUGAAAAAAUUAGAGUGCUCAAAGCAGGCUAAAAUGCCUGAAUAUUCGUGCAUGGAAUAAUAGAGUAGGAUGUCGAUCCUAUUUUGUUGGUUUUCGGGACUUGACAUAAUGAUUAAUAGGGACAGUCGGGGGCAUUUGUAUUC